This 403-nucleotide transfer-messenger RNA is filed under the name bovine gut metagenome. It matches the Rfam family "transfer-messenger RNA". Rfam says of the family: Bacterial tmRNA, also known as 10Sa RNA or SsrA, is named for its dual tRNA and mRNA-like properties. The record is from RNAcentral.
GGGACCGUUUUGGUUUUGACGGGGAAAAGCUGGUCUUAGAUUGCAGUGGGGUGGUGACCCUAAACACCAAAAAACAAUAACUGACAACACUGUCAAACCAUGGCAGCUCCCAGCCGCAAGGCUCGCUGCCGCUCGCGCCUAAUUUGAGCUCCCGCAACUAGGGAUCCGCGCAUCGCGGACGAGCACGUCUACCUCUGCGUUCGCGCCUUGGCAGAGAAUAGGUGUAAUUAAAAGGCGAUAAGCAUGGCUUGUUGGACUGGCAAGGCUUGACGAAAACCUCACAGUCGGAUCUUGGGGAUUACCUGUUUCUGCCGUUCCCUAAGAUUACAAGGCAGAGACUAAACUGUAGAUGUCUUUGAGUGGCGUUCUUCGGACCAGGGUUCGAGCCCCUGCGGUUCCACCA